Long non-coding RNA from Trachemys scripta elegans, 1267 nucleotides. RefSeq lists it as uncharacterized. Lineage: Eukaryota; Metazoa; Chordata; Testudines; Emydidae. The transcript is spliced from 3 exons. The record is from RefSeq and is a predicted model, not a curated record.
GGAAAUGCAGGUUCAUUGGGAGGCUCAGUACGGUGGUCAGGGGAGAGAACGGCGUGGGAUGCCCCAAGAGGAGCUUAAGUGUAGCGCUACCAGGAGUCCCUGGGGUCGCGGCGGGACGGCGGCGCACGGGGAGGAGCGAGCCUGGCAGACAGACACAAUAAGGGUUCACAGAUGGAGCCGAGAAAAAGGCUGCGCGCCGCGGGGUUUCGGGACUCCCAGGCUCGGCCUCGCCCACUCACUCACUAGCAACGUGCUGGCGAAGCGCUACAGCUGAAGAGAAUCAGUCAUGAGAGAGCUGCCUGGAGGGAGGAAACCUUCCUCCCAGAGACGGGACUUUCCGGAGAGUUCUCUCCCACCCCUCCUAAUGCAAUGGGAGGGGUUGCCUCCCUGCCAAAUGCUGCUCAGAGAAGGGUGACAAAUCCUAGGGGCCCAGACCUGGAUGCUUACCUUGAAAUAACACUGAAGGCAUUAGUGUCCGACGCUCGGGCUACAGAGCACCCUCAGGCAGCAACACCAGAAGAGUCUGUAGAGCUGUACGCGGAGCCUGCUACUCCUUGUGAUGUGGAAGUACCCCAAAACUUAUCACUCUGUGGGAGAAAGUAUCUCUGUUGGACAGAAGAGCAUUAAUAUGGGAUCAUAUCAGAGAAAAGCAUUCUGUCAACAAACCAUGAUGAACAGUAUUGGGAAGAACAAUACUAAAAUCAGAACUGAUCCUGAGAACGCAGAGGAAAGCGAGGAAGAGGAAACACAAAGUGAGAAGGAUGGAGAAAGAAAACAGCAGAUACGUUGGAUGCUGGGUCCUGAUUUUGGACAGAUACAAGUAGUCAAGGGAGACGGAGAUUCAAAAACAUGACAGAUGUGAAUGGUUGCACACACGGGUAAAGUUUAUAAAUCAGCUGUGAUCUCGUUUACACAAAAAUGCUUUUACAAUAAAAUUGCACAGUACUUCGAAGCUCUAAUGUAUAACAAUCCACAUUAAAGAGUUCAGUUAAGACAACCUGGAUAACAAUAAAGAAAUGGAAUGUGAGGUCACAUGGCUGUAACUGAGGGAAGAAUUUGAUCCAAUUUCUUUGUAUUACUUAACUUUGCUCUCAGAAUGUUUGUAUUGAUCAAAUAUAGGUUGCCUCAAUUAUUCACAGCUGUAUUUCAGAUUCUAACUUAUUGUUAGACUUAUGACUCUCUUUCUCUCAAGUAUUUAGUUUUACCUUAAACAAAUAAUUCAGGACUUCCUCUUGUCUUUUCCUUUUAGUUUUUCUGAUUAUGAUUU